This is a non-coding RNA of Nicotiana sylvestris (wood tobacco), 96 nucleotides long. NCBI's taxonomy places the organism in Eukaryota, Viridiplantae, Streptophyta, Magnoliopsida, Solanales, Solanaceae. The record is from Rfam.
UGGACAGAUUAUUGUAUUCGACUGUAUUCACGGCAUGAAACAGGGGAUUACAUUAUUUUUAAACGGAAAGUGAAUCAAUUAACAUAAUAGACUCCU